Molecule: long non-coding RNA, 457 nt
Organism: Poecilia latipinna (sailfin molly)
Lineage: Eukaryota; Metazoa; Chordata; Actinopteri; Cyprinodontiformes; Poeciliidae
Exons: 3
Source: RefSeq, a predicted model, not a curated record
AUAAGGUCAGGCAAUUAUUAAAUUCACUUUGACACUACGAACUUCCAGAUCUGUACAGCUAGCUUUGGAUGGGAUGUGCAUGUCACUAGACUUGGGGAUAAGGGAAUUAAAGUCUAAUCAGGCUGCACAGCAAUCCGAUGAUUAAUUCAGCGUAAUAACUAGCAGGUGCAGAGCCUGUCAUGUGCUGGGAGUCCUUCUACACCAUGUCCAGCCACCACUAAACUACAUCCAAUGACACCGCCAGGAUCUUAGCCUGUGUGAGAGGGAAUCCUCAACUGAAUCAAGACCACUGAGCACUAUGACAGACCAUGGGUAGGAGCCAGGUGCUGGAACACUCUCCCCUCACAGGCACACAUCUGUUUCAGACGGGGCUGGGGAAAAAGAACACAUUACAGGAACACCUCUGACACUGACAGGAAGAAGGGGCAGCUGUUGUGAGAGAUAAAAAUCUUUCAUC